CUGGCUCAGAACGAACGCUGGCGGCGCGUCUUAAGCAUGCAAGUCGGACGGCAAGGGUUGUGCUUGCACAACUCCUAGAGUGGCGGACUGGUGAGUAACGCGUGGGUGACCUGCCCUCGAGAUGGGGAUAGCCAUUAGAAUAGUGGAUAAUACCGAAUACGCUCAGGACCCUGUGGGGAUAUGAGGAAAACAGGCUACGGCCUGGCUCGAGGAUGGGCCCGCGUCCCAUUAGCUAGUUGGUGAGGUAACGGCCCACCAAGGCGACGAUGGGUAUCCGGCCUGAGAGGGUGUACGGACACAUUGGGACUGAGAUACGGCCCAAACUCCUACGGGAGGCAGCAGCUAAGAAUAUUCCGCAAUGGACGAAAGUCUGACGGAGCGACGCCGCGUGGAUGAAGAAGGCCGGAAGGUUGUAAAAUCCUUUUGCUGGUGAAGAAUAAGUGUGGUAGGGAAUGACCGCAUGAUGACAUUAGUCGGUGAAUAAGCCCCGGCUAACUACGUGCCAGCCGCCGC
RNAcentral lists this ribosomal RNA (513 nucleotides) under uncultured bacterium. Its description in RNAcentral is "bacterial SSU rRNA". It matches the Rfam family "Bacterial small subunit ribosomal RNA", at positions 19 to 518 of the family's 1533-position model. The record is from RNAcentral.